AGCUUUGUUUUCUUGUGAACAAUGUCUGAGAAAGAAUAAGUUUGGGUUAACCAUGGAGACCGCAAGCAUCUUUGCAAAGUCGUAAGUAGAGGACCUUCUGGCUAAAUGACAUAUCCCUGUUUUACUCUGUAAUCGUCCAAGUUUCCGAGGUUCCACACUAUGAAAAAGUCAGUUCUGGUUCUAUGAUUUCAUCACCUGCUAGCAUGAGCGACAGCAAAAUGCAAGAAAUAUCUAAAAUUUAUGCAAGUGAUAGAUUUAACCUCCAAUCAAGAUAAUAAAGAGAAACUCAAGGCAGCUCAGCUUAGGUAUUCAAAGAAGAUAAAAUAAUCCAUCUCCAUUCAAAAAAGAAAGGGGGGGUGGGGGGGUGGGGGUGGAUGCAACACACAUGAAAUUUGGCAAAAAUGAAUGUCUUCAUCGAAUAAACUAUUUCUGUAACUUUUUCAAGAAGCCAAAUCGAAACUAAAUAUAAUUAGCAAAUGAGUGAUAGACACCCUGAUACUUUGGUGUGAGAGCCGCUAAAUAUGCAGUUCCUAAUGAAUAUAUGACAACAAACUGCAUAAAAUGUAGACUGUUCAAGCCAGAGCAUAGGAAAGAUCUUCUAAACCAUUCUAGAGCUAAGUGUUCCGUCUUCCAUUUAUGUAGAAAAUAUUUAUGCCAUAGUUAUUAACUUUAAAGUAGUCAAUUCAAUUACAUGAAUAAUUCAACAAUAUGUAUUAAACUCAUUUUGCUUUUAUUUAGUUUUACACAGAAGAACCCAUGUUGUUUCUAAACCACAUGGACAUGGGGAACCUAGAAUAUUAAGAGAAGAUCCCAACUUCUUUCGAGAAUUUCAUCAAACAUGUACCAAACAAUGAUGUUUUAACUAAGGAGUAGGUAUUAACAAUACCAAAUUAAAAGCGGCAAAAAGAAUGGACAUAAACAAAAGUUACCUUCACUUAAAAACAUGGAUUAUCCACCCAGUUCAGCACGAGUUGGAACUACAGGUACAAGAAAAUUCCCAAAAGGAGAAUCAAAGAUCCUAAAAUUGCCAGUGCAGCCGUCUUGUUGUGCUUGAGCUAGUGCUGAAUUC
This 1069-nucleotide long non-coding RNA is filed under the name Nicotiana tabacum (common tobacco). RNAcentral describes it as "long non-coding RNA (NTAB_LNC018690)". Lineage: Eukaryota; Viridiplantae; Streptophyta; Magnoliopsida; Solanales; Solanaceae. The record is from RNAcentral.